GACGGACUCUGCCAUCACUUACUUACUGUAAAUGAGCAACUUUACGAAAACGAAUCUGCUGAUGUUUUUGGUCGCUCUUUGACAAAGUGCUUUCUUCUUUUUGAUUCAAAUUGUCAUCAUCUCAAACUACAGCUGGAGUGGUUCCUUAAUAAGCUAAUGCACACAAUACAAUUAGAUCAGUCAAGACUUCAAGCAGGCAGACAAGAGCUAACAUUAGAAUGUCUCAAUUCAAUUUUGUCACAUUCAUAAUUUUGUAUCAGAGUUAUAUGUUAAUUAUGAUUGCAGUACCUACUGUACUAAUGUGUGCGAGAGACUGAGCAAGCUACUUGCUAAGCAAGCAUUCCCCAGCUCUUAUCACACGAUAUCAUCAACCAACAUUAUUAGCACUGGAAACACUACUGACAUUGAUACUGGCAUUAGAAUCAACCAACACCACCACUACUGAUAAUGAUGAUACCAAUGAUGGUGAUACUAAUAGAAUGUGUACUAAAAAUGGAGGGAAAGUUGCAGGUGACUGUAAUAAAGGAGUGAGUGUGAAUUGAUCUGCUUGGAUCAUAUUCUCAUCAGAUAAGCAGCAGGAACCAGAUAUCAUUCUAAAUGGAGCAGAGGAGGUACCGUCAAGGAUCUCAAGUCCUUUUUUGUGGGCAGACUUGACACCUUGUCAUCAAAUUUACAUGAAUGAACAUUAAUGAUGUACAUGUACUUAAAUGUCUAUCUCUUUCUCUAGUAAUUCUGUAACUCACAUGUGUACUACUUGUGGUGUUAGCAAAGUCUCUCUUCUCAGGGAAUUCUGUAACAAAACAGGAGUACAGAUUACAUUGAAGGAUUACAAAUUUUCCUUGACUGCUCCAUUCAAUGAAGGUGAUCUUGCCUGUAUUGUACCUGUUGUUAAGCACACUGAUUUUAAAGUGAGACAAAACUUCAUUUAUUACUGCUUUGUACUGU
Molecule: long non-coding RNA, 945 nt
Filed under: Amphimedon queenslandica
Lineage: Eukaryota; Metazoa; Porifera; Demospongiae; Haplosclerida; Niphatidae
Description: uncharacterized LOC109590583, transcript variant X3
Source: RNAcentral